GAUGAACGCUGGCGGCGUGCCUAAUACAUGCAAGUCGAGCGAACGGACGAGAAGCUUGCUUCUCUGAUAUUAGCGGCGGACGGGUGAGUAACACGUGGAUAACCCACCUAUAAGACUGGGAUAACUUCGGGAAACCGUAGCUAACACCGGAUAAUAUUUUGAACCGCAUGGUUCAAAAGAGAAAGACGGCCUUGCUGUCACUUAUAGAUGGAUCCGCGCUGCAUUAGCUAGUUGGUAAGGUAACGGCUUACCAAGGCAACGAUGCAUAGCCGACCUGAGAGGGUGAUCGGCCACACUGGAACUGAGACACGGUCCAGACUCCUACGGGAGGCAGCAGUAGGGAAUCUUCCGCAGUGGGCGGAAGCCUGACGGAGCAGCGCCGCGUGAGUGAUGAAGGUCUUCGGAUCGUAAAACUCUGUUAUUGGGGAAGAACAUAUGUGUAAGUAACUGUGCACAUCUUGACGGUACCUAAUCAGAAAGCCACGGCUAACUACGUG
This 497-nucleotide ribosomal RNA is filed under the name uncultured bacterium. Its description in RNAcentral is "partial 16S ribosomal RNA". It matches the Rfam family "Bacterial small subunit ribosomal RNA", at positions 28 to 507 of the family's 1533-position model. The record is from RNAcentral.